Molecule: ribosomal RNA, 373 nt
Filed under: uncultured bacterium
Lineage: Bacteria
Description: bacterial SSU rRNA
Rfam family: Bacterial small subunit ribosomal RNA
Source: RNAcentral
AACGAACGCUGGCGGCAGGCUUAAUACAUGCAAGUCGAACGGGCGCAGCAAUGCGUCAGUGGCAGACGGGUGAGUAACACGUGGGAACCUUCCUCGUUGUACGGAACAACUCAGGGAAACUUGAGCUAAUACCGUAUAAGUCCGAGAGGAGAAAGAUUUAUCGCAAUGAGACGGGCCCGCGUCGGAUUAGGUAGUUGGUGAGGUAACGGCUCACCAAGCCGACGAUCCGUAGCUGAUCUGAGAGGAUGAUCAGCCACACUGGGACUGAGACACGGCCCAGACUCCUACGGGAGGCAGCAGUAGGGAAUCUUGGACAAUGGGCGCAAGCCUGAUCCAGCCAUGCCGCGUGAGUGAAGAAGGCCUGGUUGUAAGU